Molecule: long non-coding RNA, 2307 nt
Organism: Daphnia carinata
Lineage: Eukaryota; Metazoa; Arthropoda; Branchiopoda; Diplostraca; Daphniidae
Exons: 7
Source: RefSeq, a predicted model, not a curated record
CAGGACGCCUCCACCUGAGGGCAGUAUAAGCAGAGUAAGUAUCCAAUAAAUCGUAUGAUGGGUAGUACAAAAAAUAAACGUAGUAAAAUAAAUUCUUAAGAUUACCGAUUGAAUUAAAAAAAAAUGUAAUUCUUAUAUUACAAAUUCAACAAAAUUUAGCUACUUUUUUAUUGUUCAUGGUUUCCAUCUGCUUAUACUGCCCUCAAGUGGAGGCGUCCUGAAGCUGGAUUUGGCUUGAAAUGCCGUUCCCUAAAGAAAAUAACAAUAGACUUGUUUCGUAUAGUUUGAUCUAUGGAGUGAUCAGUGAUAAUGUUGAGAGAUCAAAUAAUUAAUAAUAAAGUUUAAAGGUUAUAAGAUGAGAGGCAGUUUUUGUAAAUGGAAAAAGAGAAAACAAGUACUUGAAAGUGUCGUCUAAACAAAAUUUGUAGGAAAUGAGGACCCAAAAAAUCAAGAGCCUUAUAAAACGCGAGGGUCCAUUGACAUCGUCGCUCUUAAAAAGUAACUCUCUCCUGAAGAUUUUGUCAUUUCUAGCUUAUUGACCAACAUUUCAACUGAAAGUGUAUCUACAGUUGAAGAUCUCAAUAGCAAUAAGGUUGGUGUUGAAUUGGAAGAAUGUCUAGCAGCUAACACCUCACACUUAACAGGGAAAAGGCAAACAGAGUUUGUCAAAACAGGUAUUCCUGAACCAAGACAAACAAGUACACCGCCAACACCAAUUUUCAACAGUGAAGGCUGCCUAGUAUUCAGCAAAUUUGAUUUAGGAGAACUAUCUAAUCCCUCACCCAUUCUGAACAAGACCACUUUAGAUUCAAAAGUGGCAACAAAAAAAAACUCAAAGCCAAAGUUAAAAUCUUGGAUGGCCAAGCUGAAGUUGAGAAUGCGAGAAGUAUUGAAGAGAAACGGGCAUGAAAAGGUGCCCUGCAAAUAGCCGAAGUAUUUCAGGUAAAAAAACAAUGUGGAAUUACUUGCUAAAUCUAUUAAGAAACAAGAUGAAAUCAAAUCAGAUAGUAAAAAGAAGUUGGCUGAACGCAUUGAAGAAUAGGAAAAGAGAAAGGAAUAACAACAGAAAACGAAAAAACCCAACAUUAAGAAAAAGAAAACUGAAAAGAAAGAACAUAAUCCGAAUGAACACCUCACACUUUACAGGGAAAAAGCUGUAAUUGUCUGAUAAGACAACGAAAAUCAAACUUAAACGGAAGACUAGCAAGUACACUGCCAACAACAAUUUUUAACAGUGAAGGCUGUCUAGUUUCCAGCAAAUUUGAUUUUGGAGAACUUUCUAAUUCCCCACCCAUUCUGGAAACGACCACUUUAGAUCCAAAGUGGCAACGAUUAAAAUGAAAGAAAAUAAAAUUUAAACCCAAGAUGAAAAUCUUAGUAGGCCAAGCUGAAGUUGAGAAUGCAAGAAGCAUUGAAGAGAAACAGGCAUGAAAUGGUGCUCUGCAAAUAGCUGAAGGUUUUCAGGUAAAAAAACAAUGUGGAAUUACUUGCUAAAUCUAUUAAGAAACAAGAUGAAAUCAAAUCAGAUAGUAAAAAGAAGUUGGCUGAACGCAUUGAAGAAUAGGAAAAGAGAAAGGAAUAACAACAGAAAACGAAAAAACCCAACAUUAAGAAAAAGAAAACUGAAAAGAAAGAACAUAAUCCGAAUGAACACCUCACACUUUACAGGGAAAAAGCUGUAAUUGUCUGAUAAGACAACGAAAAUCAAACUUAAACGGAAGACUAGCAAGUACACUGCCAACAACAAUUUUUAACAGUGAAGGCUGUCUAGUUUCCAGCAAAUUUGAUUUUGGAGAACUUUCUAAUUCCCCACCCAUUCUGGAAACGACCACUUUAGAUCCAAAGUGGCAACGAUUAAAAUGAAAGAAAAUAAAAUUUAAACCCAAGAUGAAAAUCUUAGUAGGCCAAGCUGAAGUUGAGAAUGCAAGAAGCAUUGAAGAGAAACAGGCAUGAAAUGGUGCUCUGCAAAUAGCUGAAGGUUUUCAGGUAAAAGACUAUGUGGAAUUGCUUGCCAAAUCAAUUAAUGAACGAGAUCAAAUCAGAAAGUCACAUAAAUUGCGCCGAACGAAUCGAAGAAAAGGAAAAGAGAAAAGAAUAACAACAGAAAAAGAGAAAAGCCAGCAUGUAGAAAAAGAAAACUGAAAAGAAAGAACAUAAAGUGAAUAAACUAAAGAAAAGAGGCAAAUUUGUCGUAUGAAAGACUGAAACUGACUCAUGGAUGAGCUAAACUCGUGUUCUUUUAUGUGCAGCUAUGCGUGAUAGUUUUUUAGAAAAAUACACUGGCAUGCCUUCCAUGAUCGUGGAAAA